Molecule: long non-coding RNA, 212 nt
Filed under: Carica papaya (papaya)
Lineage: Eukaryota; Viridiplantae; Streptophyta; Magnoliopsida; Brassicales; Caricaceae
Description: long non-coding RNA (CPAP_LNC007179)
Source: RNAcentral
UUCUUAAGCAAUGGCUCCAUUAGUUACUUUCUGAUUUUUACCAAUUUAUUUUUUGUAUCAAUGAUUAAUGUAAUAUUCUUGCUGAUGUAGUAUAUCUCACCUUUUUAAUAAUCAUUUCAAUUUAAGAAGACCAAAAUCCAAAUCAUGAUCAGCAAGAAAGUUGUGAGUAGUCCUCCACCCCGACUCCCUUCAGGUGCUAGUGAAGGUUACCC